AGCUUUGCGCAGAGGCAGUGUCAUAGCCAAUGAGGUUCUACCGAGGCGUGACUAUUGUAGAGAUGGGCAAAACUGCUGGGACCCAAAAGUAACAGUGACAAAUAGCAGUGACUGUUAUUAUUUCGAUAUAGAUUUAAUCGAUAUUUUA
Parasteatoda tepidariorum (common house spider) is the source of this 148-nucleotide non-coding RNA. NCBI's taxonomy places the organism in Eukaryota, Metazoa, Arthropoda, Arachnida, Araneae, Theridiidae. The record is from RefSeq and is a predicted model, not a curated record.